Molecule: long non-coding RNA, 918 nt
Filed under: Setaria italica (foxtail millet)
Lineage: Eukaryota; Viridiplantae; Streptophyta; Magnoliopsida; Poales; Poaceae
Description: long non-coding RNA (SITA_LNC000451)
Source: RNAcentral
CCUGCGACACUCAGCUUGGUGCCUUUGGUAGAUCGGACAUCAAACUGAAGAACAACUGAGUAUCAAAAAAAGAAAAAAAAAAAGAACAGCUAACAAACAACUGCAACAGACGUCAGGUAUUUCAAAGCUUCCAAACGCAAACAAGAGGCAUCAGCUCGAGACAUCAGUGCACUUCAUUUCCACUAGCAAAAGAUGUUAAUAUACUAAUACCUCCACAUCCCUCCCGGACGUGGAGCGCAUGAUGCUCACAGGCAAGCACAUGUAAUCAGUGCGCUCUAGUUACAAAAGCUGAACUGCAGCCUUCAGGAGGGGUGGCAGAUCAGAGAUGGAGCGCCUAAUACGGCUUGAGGUAGUCGAAGAGAUGGUCCCGGAAGGACGCCGCGUCCGCCGUCGGCGAACCGACGGGGGACUUGUUGUACCCGGCGGCUGGCUGGUGCUGGUCCUUCUGGCUCUGCUGAUCACUACUCGCCGGCAGCUUGAGCUUCCCCUUGUCGGUCUCGAUCUGCAGCGCCCUCGUCUGCCGCCGGCGCCGCUGCUGGUGCUGGUGCUGCUGCCGCCUCUGCUCCCGGCGCUUGUUCACGUACUCCUCGUGGAUGAACGUCUCGAUCAUCUUCACUCGCAGCCUGGCUAAGCUGCUCUGCUUCCUACCAGCAGGCUAACACUUGCACCCAACUACACUAUACUUCACUAAGCUACCUAGCUACUUCUUGUACUACAAGCUCCCAAGAUCUGGAGGACGAUGUUAACACUUAACAGAGAGGAACACUACUACUGAUGAACUGAAGAACACUGAUAGGAAGGAAGGAAGAGUGGUGCUCGUAUUUGUGCCGAGCUAGAGCUUAGCGCCCGCAUCUUUAUAGGCCACCAAGUCAGGUCAAUUAUUCGUGCGCCCAGACACUUGUCCAGCUUACACAGGGC